This 467-nucleotide ribosomal RNA is filed under the name uncultured bacterium. RNAcentral describes it as "partial 16S ribosomal RNA". It matches the Rfam family "Bacterial small subunit ribosomal RNA", at positions 28 to 507 of the family's 1533-position model. The record is from RNAcentral.
GACGAACGCUGGCGGCGUGCUUAACACAUGCAAGUCGAACGGAAAGGCCUAGCUUGCUGGGUACUCGAGUGGCGAACGGGUGAGUAACACGUGGGUGAUCUGCCCCUGACUUUGGGAUAAGCCUGGGAAACUGGGUCUAAUACCGGAUAUUCAUUUUUCUUCGCCUGGGGAUUUGUGGAAAGCUUUUGCGGUUGGGGAUGGGCCCGCGGGCUAUCAGCUUGUUGGUGGGGUAAUGGCCUACCAAGGCGACGACGGGUAGCCGACAUGAGAGGGUGAUCGGCCACACUGGGACUGAGACACGGCCCAGACGCCUACGGGAGGCAGCAGUGGGGAAUAUUGCACAAUGGGCGCAAGCCUGAUGCAGCGACGCCGCGUGCGGGAUGACGUCCUUCGGGUUGUAAACCUCUUUCAGCUCCGACGAAGCGCAAGUGACGGUAGGAGCAGAAGAAGCACCGGCCAACUACGUG